This 273-nucleotide ribosomal RNA is filed under the name uncultured bacterium. RNAcentral describes it as "partial 16S ribosomal RNA". It matches the Rfam family "Bacterial small subunit ribosomal RNA", at positions 524 to 796 of the family's 1533-position model. The record is from RNAcentral.
UACAGAGGUCCCGAGCGUUGUUCGGAUUCACUGGGCGUAAAGGGUGCGUAGGUGGCCAUGAAAGUCUGAUGUGAAAUCUCCGGGCUCAACCCGGAAAAUGCAUUGGAUACUAUGUGGCUUGAGGUUUGGAGGGGGGACUGGAAUUCUCGGUGUAGCAGUGAAAUGCGUAGAUAUCGAGAGGAACACCAGUGGCGAAGGCGGGUCCCUGGACAACACCUGACACUGAGGCACGAAAGCUAGGGGAGCAAACAGGAUUAGAAACCCCCGUAGUCC